Molecule: ribosomal RNA, 427 nt
Filed under: uncultured bacterium
Lineage: Bacteria
Description: partial 16S ribosomal RNA
Rfam family: Bacterial small subunit ribosomal RNA
Source: RNAcentral
UAGGGAAUCUUCCGCAAUGGGCGAAAGCCUGACGGAGCAACGCCGCGUGAGUGAUGAAGGUCUUAGGAUCGUAAAACUCUGUUAUUAGGGAAGAACAAACGUGUAAGUAACUGUGCACGUCUUGACGGUACCUAAUCAGAAAGCCACGGCUAACUACGUGCCAGCAGCCGCGGUAAUACGUAGGUGGCAAGCGUUAUCCGGAAUUAUUUGGCGUAAAGCGCGCGUAGGCGGUUUUUUAAGUCUGAUGUGAAAGCCCACGGCUCAACCGUGGAGGGUCAUUGGAAACUGGAAAACUUGAGUGCAGAAGAGGAAAGUGGAAUUCCAUGUGUAGCGGUGAAAUGCGCAGAGAUAUGGAGGAACACCAGUGGCGAAGGCGACUUUCUGGUCUGUAACUGACGCUGAUGUGCGAAAGCGUGGGGAUCAAACA